This is a non-coding RNA of Phasianus colchicus (ring-necked pheasant), 4312 nucleotides long. The record is from RefSeq and is a predicted model, not a curated record. Lineage: Eukaryota; Metazoa; Chordata; Aves; Galliformes; Phasianidae.
GUUCCCCGCCCAGCGCGGCGGCUCCGGGCGCGUCCCUGGGAGCGGCCCGCCCCGAGGCCUGCGGCGCCCGUCUGAGGGCUGCGGGACCCGCCUCGUCUUCGCCGAGGAGGUCGCGCGGCCGAGUGCCCGUCCGGAAUUCCGCGUCCCUGCCCCCGCUCCGCAGCCCGGUGCCAGCUCCCUCCGGGGCCGAAUCGGGGGAAAAAUAUAUUGCACUGAGAUGAGAUUCAGCAAACCAUAUUAAAAUGCCAGUGCUCCACAUGGACAAAAUCCUGGUACAUAUACAGCACUGCAUGGGCAAGCCACGUCGAAAUGGAGGAUGACAGUCUUCUAAUUGAGGAAGUAGAGACCUGAUUCGCUUUUAAUUACAUGUGUGUGAUGUGUGACAGGUUGUCAGGGAACAAUCUGGAUUCUCUCACACUGAUGGCUAAAAAUGCAAAGUAGCACAAUGCAUUGAUUCAGCUUGCAAACUGCUUUGUUAAGAAUCAGCUGAAGUGCAGCUGGGAAAUGUCCUCAUAAUAUUGUUCUCUUUCUUCUUUCCGAAAGGAACGCGCAGAGAUGUCCUGCAGUCAGGCCUAUGAGGAGCAGCUUGGGCAAGGUGCCACCUGGCUGAGCAGCAGUGACUCCGCAGAGGAUGAGCCAGGACUGGAAGCUGCCGGCUCCUUCUGCAGCACUGAUGUCCCAGCACCGCAUCCCAGAAAGCUGGCUGGGUUCUCCAGCUAAAACCCUGACCCCUCCCUUCUGCUGCAAAAGCUAUCGCCUGUUGCUUGAUUACAUCCAGAGGCAAAGAUUAAUAGAAAAUUUCAUUUCUGUUGCCUAAUAGAAGUGAUGUAACAGCAGCAAUGAUAGAGGAAAAACAAGAUGACUUGAAAACAUUUGCAGAAUGUACGUUUGGGUAAAAAAUCAUUUUAAACUUUAAGCUAACCAAGCAAUGGCUGAGCACACACGAUUUAAAAUUUCAUCUCAAUUUCACAAUGGCUUUACUGUGGUUUACCAAUCUCUCACGCAGUAACUGUUUUCAGGGGGGGUCUGGAGAUCAAAUCUGUGAGACUCCACCUCUGGAGAGUAAGAGUUCUGGUAUGAAAGAACGGUAAGGCUUCUCCCAAGUUAGAGACUCUAAAGGAAUAAUAAAUUCUGAAUUUAAAACUAUUCUGUUUCCUACAGAGAAUAUAGGGCUCUUCUUCCCAGGGAAGCAGUAAAAUCCUACAAUCUUGAAAGAGAUUUCCUGAACCAAGGAUCUGCCCUCGGGGAGGGGGAUGAACCAUUACCAUUACUUGAUGUGCCUGCUUGAGCAGUUAAUAAUUCUGGAGAGAAUUCGUAGAAGCAUCCUAUUGGAAAAGGGGAGAUAGAAGCUCCUGUUCUUUGGUUGUUCAAAACUUUACUCUGGCACAGAAGGAUAUCUUUGGGGCAGCCUCAGCUUGCUUUGAACUCCCUAGUCAUUAAAGCACAAGAAGGUGACUCCAUGAAUAGCAAAGCUGGGUGUGGGUUUUAAAGAGCUUGAAAAUCAGGAUUAGUAGAGCAGUUCUGCGCUGGCUAGUAACAAGGUGAAGCACUGCAGUCUGUUUCACACUGCCUUAGAGAAAAAAAAAGGGACUAUUUUAGUGAUAUUGCAGGUGGCCACAUACCAUAUCAACAGGACUAAGAUACAUUCUCGGAAUGCUGACCUUGCACAUUAUCUGCCACCAGCAUUCCACAGUUUGUGCAAAGCAUCUUUAAGCUUUUUAGGGAUUAUAACAGACCCAUUCAAAUAUUUACAUUUUCUGUUAUUUUCAUAUUCAAGUUUUAAAGUACAUGCACAUUUAACUCUGUAUUUCUUUGUUCCCAUCUGUUUGUAAUGCUGUACAGGGAAGUGACUGAGCUGGCUGAAAAAUAAGCAGUUUUGGGGGAAAGGAGGGAAAACUAUUCAUUUUGAUCAGUUUUAAAUACACUGCUAGAAGUCCUGGUAUUGAAUUUCCUAUCUAAGCUGCCCUUAGAGUAGAUCUGAAUAUUUAGACAUUAUGUCAGUUAGCACAAUUCAGUUUGCCUGUUGGUGUUGCUGUGAUGUCACAUUCCAUUUCAGCAAAGAUCCUUGCUCUUGCACUGCAAUCCAGCACAACACACACACAAAGGUAAAACUUAGGAUGGAAAAAACUACUAAUUAAUGUAUCAGAAAGGGAGGGCUUUUUUUUUUUUUAAUACAAUUUCUCUUCAGAAUUGCAAAACUAACAAACACAACUUAUUUCACACAAGUCCCUCUUUACUAGCUGUCUUGAUCAUCUUGGUCAAGAUGAGAUCAUCUUGAAAACUUGCCCUUUCGAAGCAACCCUAUUACACUGACCACUAAGUUUGUAAGUUUUUUAGUUUUUUUUUAAACACACAACCCUGUAGUUCAGUUAGUUCUAUCAGUUGACUUGAAAUUGUGGAACUCACCUCUGAAGAGAACAGGACAACUCUGUGUAGACUGCAAAAAGGUAACAAGAAGCCUAAUUACUCAUUAGCCUGGUUCAAAUAACAUUUAAAAGCUAAAUUAUAUGUGAAAGACAGCAAUACAAAAAGGAAAAAUAAUAAUUUGCAUACUCGCUAAAAAUUCUACAUUGCUGAAAUACUAUAUGCAGAGAAAAAUUAAGCAUGAAUGUAAACUUCAUAUAGUUUCCAUUUUUGUUUAGGUGUAAACACGAGAACAAGUAAAUACACGUUUGGUGCCAUGCUUUUAUUUAAAUGAAAGGAAAAAACUACAACAGUACCACAUAAGUAGCAAUGACAAUAUUUUACAGCACAGCAUUUGAAAAAAUAUGGAAGCUAUGCUCCAUAGAAGUGGACAAGUAAGCACACAAUACACUGUACAUUUUCCAACGUUGCCCAUUAAAUCAAUUAAAUAGCUGAAUUUGGCUUUAAACAGCCAAAUAAUAAAAACUAACAGUCAUCCUAAAAUAAAAUAAAAUAAAAAAAUCAGUAGCUGUUGUGACUGUUAGAAUACGAAAUUUUGCUCCAAAACCUAACAUGAUAGUUUGGCAAUUCAGUCAUAGCAACAAUAGUAAUACCCCUGAUGAAAGCACCAGUGUGUUCUGAAAAGGUCAGUGAUAAAUACUGGCCUUCACGGAAAGCUUCCUUAUAAUUUUCAUGUUUUCAAUUUAUUUUAAUUUUUUUAAUUUUUUUUUUAAACAUGAUCCCAACCAUAGACCCACUGUAAUUAGAAAAUUUGCAGGCUUAAAAAGGAAAAGCACAUCUAGCUUCACUUUUCCUGUAUUAAGUAAAACUUUAUACUGCGAGCAAUGAACUUUUCAGCUGCAUUAUUCACAUUCUACUUUUAAACAUUGCACAAAUCUUUCACCUGUUGACAAGUGUAGAUUUCUUUAAUACAUUCAGAUAUAUCUAAAACGAACCAGACAACUCCUCUGCUGUGUACUUAAGCUCACUUUGAUUAGAUCGAUGUGUGUCUUCACGGUGUUGCAAAAUUACCAGCUAAAUCAUAAUACACAUUUUAGAAAUGAAAAUCCUCCCAUUAUUAAACUUCUUGUGAAGUCCUUCGACAUGAGUAAGAGUUGAUUCCAGCCUUCUGGUUUCUUCUAUCAAUGUAUAUUAUACACAAUUUCAUACUGUUAUUCAACAUGUUCCUACAAUGGUAUUUGUAGGAACUGUCUAACAGGCAGAAUGUGCAAACUCUCUUGCCCCCAUUUAAUAUUAUUUAUAGCUAUAUACACAAUAUGUAUACACUUGAAAUAUAAGAGUUACAUAUCCUGGUGAUAUACAUGCAAGCAAUAGGAAUCUGCUAACCACAAAUAAUUUUGAGCCACAAACAUAUUAAACAUACAUUUUAAAGUGUUUUUUCUUUUUUUUUUUUCUUUUUUACAGAUUUAACAAAUAUACAUAAAUAUAAGAACAUAAAUUACAGUAAAACUGACAGCAUUUUCGAGAAAAUAUUUGUAACCCAGAUGCAUUGAUGCCUAAGGCUUCAUAAUAAUUUUAAAAAGUACUGUUCUAAACUGUUUAAUGGUAUCUCAUUCAGGUGCAUCUUUAUAUAAGUAAAUGAGUACAUCAUAGUAGUGAGGCAUUGUUUCUCUCAAAGCACUUUAAUGAGAGAAAUAUGAACUUAAUUUUAGUGUCCCUAUGAAAGAGGAUGGAGUACACACUUAUAGCACAACACUGUCUUAUGUUAAUGCAGGUGUCGCAACACUGAAACAGAACAGAAUCACAAAUCAUUCAAGUCUUUUCCUGAGAAUGAGAUUUUUCCCCCAACAAAUCCUCUGGUGUACACUAUCAAAAUAGCUACAGAUUUAGGGGAGGUUUCAAGUUUGUGGUUUGGUUUUUGUUUUCUUUUCUUUUUUUUUUUUUUUUU